UCUCUCACUCCCUGGUCCUGGUCCUGGUCCUUUUCCUUUCUCCUUUUCUUUCUGUUUCUUGGAAAACAAAGAGUCUCUCCAAGAAACAGAAGAGAGGGAUUCAAGGAAAGGGAGAAGUCUGUCUUGUAGAGAUUAGAGU
Molecule: microRNA precursor, 139 nt
Filed under: Hevea brasiliensis (rubber tree)
Lineage: Eukaryota; Viridiplantae; Streptophyta; Magnoliopsida; Malpighiales; Euphorbiaceae
Description: miR6170 stem-loop (hbr-MIR6170)
Source: miRBase by way of RNAcentral